Molecule: non-coding RNA, 675 nt
Organism: Manis javanica (Malayan pangolin)
Lineage: Eukaryota; Metazoa; Chordata; Mammalia; Pholidota; Manidae
Source: RefSeq, a predicted model, not a curated record
CAAGUGUAGCAUUGGUUUGGAGGCAGCCUGUGGCAUUUUGGAAGCCACUACAAGAUCCCUAGGACAUGUGGAGCUGAGGUGCAGCGACCAAGGAGAGGCCAGUUACCCUUCUCUUGACUCUCCUGGGCAAGAUUCAGAACAUGAGAAGAACAGCCACUCUUCAGACAGAAGCUGGACACUGAGUCUGCACUCAAAUGGAGGGGAAUUCAACUACCACCUGGAGGAAGACUUGCUUUCUGUGGAUAUGCCGAUGAACAAAAGGGACAUUGUCCCUAACCUCAAAAUCUGGGAGAGAAAACAGACAGGUGAGGAAUGGAUAAAGAAAGGGAAACAUCGCAAGGAUGCUGUGUGAGCACCUGGCAGUUACUUGGAUCUUAGUUCUGGGGUUCAGCCCUAAUUUUCUUUCUUUGGAUGAAGAAGAUCCUCAGCAGCUAUCUUCAAAGAAUAUAUAUGCAUUUGACAUGUGGAAUACUUAGUGGCAUGAUGUUUGGGCACAAAUCAUGAACUAUCCCUGGGGAGUAUCCUGAGUCACUGGAGGAUUUGGUGUUUCAGGAAGAGGAAGAGGAGGAGGCUCUUCGUGCAUUUUCAGAAGGAAAGAUGAUUGACAAGCAUCAUCUCAAUCACUGGACAAACUCCCCUCACUUUACUCCUUUGAGCAGUUAGCUCAAGGGGAAC